This 297-nucleotide ribosomal RNA is filed under the name uncultured eukaryote. Its description in RNAcentral is "partial 18S ribosomal RNA". It matches the Rfam family "Eukaryotic small subunit ribosomal RNA", at positions 1470 to 1796 of the family's 1831-position model. The record is from RNAcentral.
CCCUUAGACGCUCUAGGCGGCACGCGCGCUACAAUGGGUGGUAGAACGUGUAACUGCUCCCGAAAGGGAGGGUGAACCACGAAUACUUACCCGUGAAUGGGAUAGUUUGUUGCAAUUUUCGGACUUGAACUAGGAAUCCCCUGUAAGAAUGCUCAAGAAUAGCGUGCUGAAUACGUCCCUGCCGUUUGUACACACCGCCCGUCGUUUCUUCCGACUGAUACUCAUUGUGAGUUGCAAGGAUUCUUAUUGAAAAAUUGCUGCGAAUGCUUUGUAUUGGAGGAAGAAAAAGUCGUAACA